CCUACGGGAGGCAGCAGUGAGGAAUCUUGGUCAAUGGACGAGAGUCUGACCGAGCAAAGUCGCGUGAGUGAAGACUGCCCUAUGGGUUGUAAACUUCUUUUAUAUGGAAAUAAAAUGUUCCAAGUGAGGGAUCUUGUCUGUACCAUAUCAAUAAGGAUCGCCUAACUCCGUGCCAGCAGCCGCGGUAAUACGGAGGAUACGAGCGUUAGCCGGAUUUAUUGGGUUUAACGGGAGCGUAGGUGGAUUGUUAAGUCAGUUGUGAAAGUUUGCGGCUCAACCGUACAAGUGCAGUUGAAACUGGGAGUCUUGAGUACAGUAGAGGUGGGCGGAAUUCGUUGUGUAGCGGUGAAAUGCUUAGAUAUCACGAAGAACUCCGAUGGCGAAGGCAGCUCACUGGACUGCAACUGACACUGAGGCUCGAAAGUGUGGGUAGCAAACAGGAUUAGAUACCCGUGUAGUC
This 460-nucleotide ribosomal RNA is filed under the name uncultured bacterium. RNAcentral describes it as "partial 16S ribosomal RNA". It matches the Rfam family "Bacterial small subunit ribosomal RNA", at positions 338 to 795 of the family's 1533-position model. The record is from RNAcentral.